Molecule: long non-coding RNA, 5782 nt
Filed under: Glycine max (soybean)
Lineage: Eukaryota; Viridiplantae; Streptophyta; Magnoliopsida; Fabales; Fabaceae
Description: long non-coding RNA (GMAX_LNC004413)
Source: RNAcentral
GAUGUAUUUAUGGCAGGAACAGACACUGCAGCCUUAACGACCGAAUGGGCUCUAACCGAGUUGAUUAACCAUCCACAUGUAAUGGAGAGAGCAAGACAAGAGAUUGAUUCUGUGAUAUAUAGGAAAUGGUAGAAUAGUAGAAGAAUCAGACAUUGUCAACCUUUCUUACCUGCAAGCUGUAAUACCCCACGGGUCCAAUGAUUAUUAGAGAAUCAUCAGAAAGCUGCACCAUCUGGGGCUAUGAUAUUCCAGCAAAGACUUAGUUGUUUGUAAAUGUGUGGGCUAUUGGAAGGGACCCCAAUCACUGGGAGAACCCACUUGAGUUCAAACCAGAGAGGUUUAUUAGUGAAGAGGGAAGUGGGAAGGGUCAGAUAGAUGUGAGGGGGCAACAUUUUCACAUGAUUCCAUUUGGGAGUGGGAGAAGAGGGUGCCCUGAAUCCUCACUUGCUUUGCAGGUUGCGCAGGCAAACCUUGCUGCUAUGAUUCAAUGCUUUGAAUGGAAGGUUAAAGGAGGCAUUGGAACUGCUGACAUGGAAGAGAAACCAGGGUUAACUCUUUCAAGGGCUCAUCCAUUGAUUUGUGUCCCAGUGCCUAGGCUUAAUCCUUUUCCUAAUGUGAUUGUGAUCAUAUCAUCAUCAAUUUCACGAACCCUGACUCUGUUUUGUGCAAUAUGUACACAGGCAAGGUUUUUUCCAUUAACAAAAGAUUUAUCUUAUAAAAUUAAAAGUUUUGUGUCAGUAACCUAUAUCGACCAUCAAUGCAAACAUUUGUUACGUGUAUUACUAAUACUAAGAUAAAACUCUAAUUCUAGACAACAAUAAAAACACUUAAAAGAACUAGAUCUAACUUUUCUCCUUUCAUAGGGAUUAUAGCCUGUAUAAAGAAUAUCAUGGAAGUGACUUUCUCAAUAAAACCGGGUCUUAUGGUUUGACAAAAUAGGGAUGAUACUAAUGUGGUUUUUAGUGGAAUUGUGAUUUACAGGUUGCUAUAUUGAGUUCGGAAUACAAAAUUGAAGCCAUAUAGAUAUUUGUCAACUGACUUUUAAAAUCAACGUGCUAGAUAAAAGCCUAGAUGAAGUGUCAUUGUAACGAGUGAAUUUUAAAAUAUAUCCAUGAAAAAUUAUUGCUCAAACAAAAACAAUAAAAUAAUUAACACAAACCAAAGUAGACCUUACGUCACAUCAACUUGCGGUAGCCUCCAUUACUGACCAGUAUGGCAGUUCUCGAGUGAGUUCAGAGAACGGUUCUCUCUAUGUGUCUGUCAUGAAUGCUAGAUAUAUAUUUUCCCAUAUUAAUUAAUUUCCUAAGAGUCUAUCUCCUAUUAUACCCUUCGUCCCAAGUCUAUUUCCCAAACUCCUCAACUUUCCAAAAAAAGAGAAAAAUCAAGAUGGUGUAAUAAACAAUAUAUCAACUUUGAAAAUAUCACCACUCAUUGUUUGACUGAUGUUAGCUGGGCCACUAAAUCGAUGUCAUUAGUGUUGAAUUUGUGUUUGCUGGGCUGACGUUAAUCUAACAAUUUUUCAGUAAUAUAUAUUUUUUAUUUUUAGUUGUACUUGUAAUUAAGUUACACAUAAGGAUUUUAAGACCUGUCCAAGAAUAUUCAACUCAGUCAAGUAUAAUUUGGCUUCUUGGAUCAACCUUGGGGUUCUUACACAUAAUCUUCCUUCCUAGUCUAGCAACAAUUACUUUUGUCCUUAAUUUCUCAUAAAUCACUAUUAUGAAUAUCUUACAAUGGUUUUCCUGAGUAAUCAUUGCCACAAUGGGGGUAACAAAGGUGAUAUUGCUGAUGUGGAGGUGGGUCGUCCAAAGACCAACCAUUAAAGGAUGAAUGUAAAGACUUAUGGGACGGACAAAAACUGGUAAACAUGGGAUUAUAUAAUGAAAGUCUUGAUUUGUUUGGAUACAACCUACAAUAUAUAAUUAUUCUGCCUCAAGUGUGUAAGUAGUACCAAGAGGUUUGAAGUUUUGAGUUAAUUGGUGUACCACCGAUGCAAUAUAUAGUCCUUUAACCCCUCAAGUGCAUAAACAUGAAAAGAUUUAAGUUUUAGGUCAAUCAGCAUAUGAUGGGAGUGGUAUAGUGUCUUCUGGGCUUGAAUGUAUAAGCAACGAGAAACUUGAAAUUUUGCACUGAUCAAGGUACAACUGGUGCGGACCAACGUGAUAUAUUGUAACAAAACAUGAACAUGUUUUACAUAACUUAAAAUACUAUUUUUAAUAUGAACUAUAUAUAUAUAUAUAUAUAUAUAUAUAUAUAAAUAUAUAUAUAUAUAUAUAUAUAUAUAUAUAUAUAUAUAUAUCAAAUAAAUCCUCGUUAUGUAAACUUAAAAAUAGUAUAUAAAAAAAACCGUUCCAAGUAUACUAAUAAAGUAUAGAGCAUGUCAUCAAUAAAUGCUGAUUAUAAAUAUAAUAAUAAUAUAUGUCUAUAUUAAUCUAUCAUCCAUUUUGUCCAAUUCAGUUUCUCGGUAAAGGCUAGGCGGCGGAUUAUAUGAUCCUUAUCCUACAUUCACACCACACCAUAGAACUCCUUCUCCAAUUCCCUCCUCUGUCAAUUGUCAUAAAGUCAUAAACUACUCUUACUUUUCAAUACCUAAUCGAAGAGACUUUUUUUUUUUUUUGGAAUCGGUUUUAAAUAAUUAUUUAAAAGUAAUAAAUCAUAACAGCUCACACGACUUUGAGUUAGAAAUCUUAAUAUUAUUUUUUUUAACUAAAGUCACAAAAAUAUUUAUGACUUCUAUUAAUUUUUUUUACAACUUUAAAAUUAUAAUUUUUUUUUUACUGGUAAGACUUCAAAAUCGUAAAAAAAUAAUUUAUAACUUUAAAGUCCUAAAAUUCUUUUUUUUAAAAUAAAGUUGCUUAAGUUAAAAGUGUUUUUUUAAGUUUUAAUUAUUUUACCUUAGUUUAUUUUUUUUCUCUAAUUUUUUAAAAUUUUAAAAAAUUAUUUAUUUAAAUGUCAAAUACAUUAUUUUAAUUUUACUUAUUAAUAGUUUUAUUUAAUAUGGUGUAUAUUUUUAUGAUUUUAUUUUAUAUAUUAUUAAUUUAUUUUAAUGUUUUAUUAUUUUAAAUAUAUUAUAUAUUUUUAAUAUUAUUUCAUUUAAAUGUUUUAAUUUAUUUAAAAUUUAGAUAAUCUAUUAAUAAAAAUACAUCCUAAAAUUAAAAAGAGAUACUAAAAAUUUGAAACACUUCAAUUUAAAAAAUUGAUGAUAUUUAAAUGAAAAUUAUAUAUUUUUUUAAAAUUAAUAAUGAGAUGAUGUUCCUUGGAAGUGAAAACAUAUAACCUCAAUAUUUAGAUUUAUAUUUUAUGUUUGAUCCUUCAAAGCGAAUAUAGAUGUCGAGAAGACUAAUCACUACUCCAAUACAUAAUGAAGUGAACAAAUCAAUUCCAAAUAGGAUUAAGAAAUAUUGUAAAAGUGAAGGUGAUAGUCGUGUCCAUACAAAUAAGUACGUAAUUUAUAUAUUUUAAAUAAUAAAAUAUUAAAAUAAAUUAAUAACAUAUAAAAUAAAAACAUAAAAAAAUACACACCAUAUUAAAUAAAACUAUUAAUAAUCAAAAUUAAAAUUAUUCAUUUGACAUUUAAAUAAAUAAAUCUUUUUACAAUUUUAAAAAAUUAAAAAAACAAAACAAAAUAACCUAAAAAAACACUUUAAACUUAAACAAUUUUAUUUUAAAAAAAAUUACGACUUCAAAUCAUAAAAAAAAUAUGAAAAAAAUUAAUUACGAUUUUAAAAUCGUAAAAAAAAUUAACUGAAAUAGUAAAUUAAAAACUUCAGUUAAAAAAAUAAAAAUACAGACAACUUAAUGUAACACUAACCAGUAAUUAUUUAAAACCACGCCAUUUGGAAAAAUCGAAAAAAAAAAAGGGCCUGGUCAGUAUAAAAGCCAAUCGAAGACUGCUGUGCUUUCUGUCUGUCAUCAUCAUGAAUGUUUACUAUUUUACAAUCUUUAUUUGAAAGGUCCUCAACUGGUAAAAAGACAUUCAAGGUACUUGUUGUAGAUGAGAUCAUAUUCAAUACUAGUCUUUCUUAGUUUCUUUCUCUUACCUCACCAAAAAAACAAAAAGAUGAAUGGUCAGACUCGGAGGAUUUCUAUUUAGUAAAAAUCUUUCUUAGUUUCUUUCAUAUGCACUCCAUAGUUGAAGGUGGAAGCUAAGGUAUUAUUAUGGCUUAUCAAGUGUUGGUGAUUUGUGUGGUCUCCAGCAUAGUGUUUGCAUACAUAGUAUGGAGAAAAGAAAGGAAGAAAAAGCUUCCACCGAGUCCAAAGGGCCUUCCCAUCAUUGGGCACCUCCACCUUGUGUCCCCAAUACCCCACCAAGAUUUUUACAAGCUCUCACUCCGCCAUGGACCCAUCAUGCAACUUUUCCUCGGCUCAGUCCCUUGUGUGGUGGCUUCCACCGCGGAAGCCGCCAAAGAGUUCCUCAAAACCCACGAAAUCAACUUCUCCAACCGCCCCGGCCAAAACGUCGCCGUUCAGUUCUUAACCUACGUGUUUGGCCCUUACGGACCCUCCGUGAAGUUCAUCAAGAAACUUUGCAUGUCCGAACUCCUCGGUGGGCGCAUGCUGGACCAGUUCCUUCCUGUGAGACAGCAAGAGACAAAAAAAUUCAUCAAACGCGUCCUCCAAAAGGGUAUCGCUGGUGAAGCCGUUGACUUCGGAGGAGAGUUCAUGAGACUCUCCAACAACAUCAUUUCGAGAAUGACCAUGAACCAGACGAGUUCCGAGGACGAGAAACAGGCCGAAGAGAUGAGGAUGCUGGUGGCGGAUGUCGCAGAACUCAUGGGCACGUUCAACGUGUCGGACUUCAUUUGGUUCUUGAAGCCUUUUGAUUUGCAGGGGUUCAACAAGAGGAUCAGGAAAACGAGGAUCAGAUUCGACGCUGUCUUGGACAGAAUCAUCAAGCAGCGUGAAGAGGAAAGAAGGAACAACAAGGAAAUCGGUGGAACGCGUCAGUUUAAGGAUAUACUUGAUGUUUUGUUGGACAUAGGCGAAGAUGACAGUUCUGAAAUCAAAUUAACCAAAGAGAACAUUAAGGCCUUCAUCAUGGUAAGUAAAUGAAUUAUGCAAGUAUAUAUGCUGUUUUUUUCUUUCUUAUAACUUCACACUAAUUAUUUUAUUUGGACACUCAACCGUACAGAUAACAUGUUUUUCCCUGCCUUGUUACAUUAUAUCAACAUUCCCCUGUUUAGUCUCUGUCUCUUGGGUCCUGAUUAUCUUAUAUUCCACUCCAAAAUCGGACGGGUUAUGAUAUAUAGAGAGAGAAAAAAAAGGAUAGAUGUGAUAAAUAAUGUGAAAAAUAAAGAAAGAAAAAAGAGAGAGAAAAUAAAGUGGAAGUUAAAUGAAAGAUAAAAAGUUAAUAAAACUUGAUCAGGUCUCAUGUGAAAAUUGUUUGAGUGGAGGACCAUAUAAUAAGUGUCCAUCCUUCAUUUUCCUUUCAUGCAAACAUGACUAACAUGCACAUGUGUUGUUUCUAAUGACAUAUUUAGGAUAUAUUUGUUGCCGGGACUGACACGUCAGCUGCAACCAUGGAAUGGGCUAUGGCAGAGUUAAUCAACAAUCCAUGUGUGUUGGAGAAGGCAAGGCAAGAGAUAGAUGCAGUGGUUGGAAAUAGUAGAAUAAUAGAAGAAUCAGACAUUGUCAACCUUCCUUACCUACAAGCCAUUGUUAGAGAAACACUUAGGAUUCACCCAGGUGGUCCAUUGAUUGUUAGAGAGUCAUCAAAAAGUGUUGUGGUUUGUGGGUAUGAAAUUCCAGCCAAGACCCGAUUAUUUGUCAAUGUUUGGGCUAUUGG